CCUACGGGGCGCAGCAGUGGGGAAUAUUGGACAAUGGGCGAAAGCCUGAUCCAGCCAUGCCGCGUGUGUGAAGAAGGCCUUCGGGUUGUAAAGCACUUUCAGUGGGGAAGAAAGCCUUGGGGCUAAUACCCUCGAGGAAGGACAUCACCCACAGAAGAAGCACCGGCUAACUCCGUGCCAGCAGCCGCGGUAAUACGGAGGGUGCGAGCGUUAAUCGGAAUUACUGGGCGUAAAGCGCGCGUAGGCGGUCUGAUAAGCCGGUUGUGAAAGCCCCGGGCUCAACCUGGGAACGGCAUCCGGAACUGUCAGGCUAGAGUGCAGGAGAGGAAGGUAGAAUUCCCGGUGUAGCGGUGAAAUGCGUAGAGAUCGGGAGGAAUACCAGUGGCGAAGGCGGCCUUCUGGACUGACACUGACGCUAAGGUGCGAAAGCGUGGGUAGCAAACAGGAUUAGAUACCCCUGUAGUC
Molecule: ribosomal RNA, 465 nt
Filed under: Vreelandella stevensii
Lineage: Bacteria; Pseudomonadati; Pseudomonadota; Gammaproteobacteria; Oceanospirillales; Halomonadaceae
Description: partial 16S ribosomal RNA
Rfam family: Bacterial small subunit ribosomal RNA
Source: RNAcentral